Molecule: long non-coding RNA, 403 nt
Organism: Zophobas morio
Lineage: Eukaryota; Metazoa; Arthropoda; Insecta; Coleoptera; Tenebrionidae
Exons: 4
Source: RefSeq, a predicted model, not a curated record
UGACGGCAUUCGGGACUUGUGGGACUAUUAUUUACGCUGCAACAGAUAAAAAAUUUAGAAGACAACUACACUUUUGGUACCUUUCCGCUCCUGCAGUUUUUGACUAAACUUAUACUCAUCUUUUGACUCGAAGUUUACCCGCUUCUGAAAGAGAAAAAGUUUUUGCUGAGCUACACCGCAAAUAUGCACCGGCCUGAAUUUGUACCAAAAGAAUAUAGAGAUAAAUUUCGACUUUGCCAGUCAAACGUUCCCAGAGUAUCCGACUUUAACAUAAUUAAAAGAACGUUUCCUGAACUUCAAGAAGAAUCUUUAGGCUGUGCCAGCGUGGGGCAAGCACACUUUGGAAUUUUAAAUAACAGAGACAAAGUUAUUGUAAAAGUUCAACAUCCAGAUGUGGAAGCUC